GACGAACGCUGGCGGCGUGCUUAACACAUGCAAGUCGAACGGAAAGGCCCUGCUUUUGUGGGGUGCUCGAGUGGCGAACGGGUGAGUAACACGUGAGUAACCUGCCCUUGACUUUGGGAUAACUUCAGGAAACUGGGGCUAAUACCGGAUAGGAGCUCCUGCUGCAUGGUGGGGGUUGGAAAGUUUCGGCGGUUGGGGAUGGACUCGCGGCUUAUCAGCUUGUUGGUGGGGUAGUGGCUUACCAAGGCUUUGACGGGUAGCCGGCCUGAGAGGGUGACCGGCACCAUGGGGCUGGGGAAAGGCCCAGGAUUCUUCGGGGGGCAAGAGUGGGGAAUAUUGCACAAAGGGCCGGAGCCUGGAGCAACAACGGCCGGGGCGGGAAGACCGCCUUCGGGGUGGAAACCGCUUUCGCCUGUUACCGAGCGGGAGUGACGGUAAUGGGUAAAGAAGCACCGGCUAACUACGUG
Molecule: ribosomal RNA, 467 nt
Filed under: uncultured bacterium
Lineage: Bacteria
Description: partial 16S ribosomal RNA
Rfam family: Bacterial small subunit ribosomal RNA
Source: RNAcentral